AUACAGGUCACUAGGGUGAUGAAGAAGGCAUUUAGGAUGCACGCCUUCAUUGCAUGGUGGUUAUGCAGCGCUGGAUUUCCAUGUCACCACACUUUAGGAAGGACGUGACUGCCCUCGGGAG
Molecule: long non-coding RNA, 121 nt
Organism: Amblyraja radiata (thorny skate)
Lineage: Eukaryota; Metazoa; Chordata; Chondrichthyes; Rajiformes; Rajidae
Exons: 3
Source: RefSeq, a predicted model, not a curated record